RNAcentral lists this ribosomal RNA (354 nucleotides) under uncultured bacterium. RNAcentral describes it as "partial 16S ribosomal RNA". It matches the Rfam family "Bacterial small subunit ribosomal RNA", at positions 338 to 690 of the family's 1533-position model. The record is from RNAcentral.
CCUACGGGUGGCAGCAGUGAGGAAUAUUGGUCAAUGGCCGGGAGGCUGAACCAGCCAAGUCGCGUGAGGGAAGACGGCUCUACGUGUUGUAAACCUCUUUUGUCAGGGAGCAAGGUGCAGGUCGGGACCUGCUGUGAGAGUCUCUGUAGAAAAAGCAUCGGCUAACUCUGCGUCAGCAGCCGCGGUAAUCCGGAGGAUGCGAGGGUUAUCCGGAUUUAUUGGGGUUCACGGGUGCGCAGGCGGAGGCCCAAGUCAGCGGGAAAAUCGCGGGUCUCAACCCGGCUCCGCCGGUGAAACGGGGUCCAAUGAGUGCGCGAAGGGUAGGCGGAAUUCGUGGUGUAGCGGGGGAAUGCA